Molecule: long non-coding RNA, 776 nt
Organism: Cyprinus carpio carpio
Lineage: Eukaryota; Metazoa; Chordata; Actinopteri; Cypriniformes; Cyprinidae
Source: Ensembl
GUUCUUUUAAACGUCUGGGGUUAUAAUCCAUUUUGCGUAUUAAACACCCACCCGAAUAACCAAAGGGGGUGAUUAUUUGCAUUAUAUUGAGGCAGAGUCUGUGUAUGUGGACACUCACUAUUUGCCCUCUCUUCAGUUCCUCUUGUCUGUCCUCCACAAGCAGAGACUCACUGAUAGACCACUGUUACCAGUUUUAGUGUUGACACAUCCACCCACGUCCCCACCACAAGUGUAUCCUGUACAGACACAGAACAUUGAGAAAAAAAGAGAUGCUGUUGUCUGCUGCCUCAUUAACUACCUCGGUGAAAGACAAGAAGAUCUUUUCCAUGACUGCCAGGAAUGUGAGGACUACACAGACAAAACGAUGAAGGUGAUUGUGAAGCACAAUGUCAUGGCUGAGGAGGAUCCAUCAGAUUUGUCUAUUGUGAUCGAGGGAAACCAAGUGAUGGAAGGAUGUGGAAGCCAAACAAAGGCAUGCAUAAUGCUGAUGGGACUCAUUUAUGCAAUCAACAUCAAAUAUCCAAAGGAGCUGAAGAACAUGUUUGAAGCUUUUCAAAAACUUUUUUUGGAAAUUGAUGGGGCAAAACUACUGAAAAAGACACAGAUCCAUCCACUCUCUCUCAGCCCACUCCAUUGCUCUGUGAUUUCCCCUAGAUUGACAGAAAAGGAAUACCAAUAGAAAGUUGCCGGAAGAAUUUUGAUCUCUCCUUCUACCCUCCCCCCAUUUGAGAGUGAGAGCAAGCUCAAAAACUAAAGAAUGUUGGUGUUCUGUUUUA